This is a small RNA of Parvimonas micra, 76 nucleotides long. It matches the Rfam family "dfrA-dnaX RNA". NCBI's taxonomy places the organism in Bacteria, Bacillati, Bacillota, Tissierellia, Tissierellales, Peptoniphilaceae. The record is from Rfam.
AUGCCUUAUGAUAAAGCUAUAAUUAUUUCAUCAUAAUAACCUAAAUUUAAUUAUCAAAAAGGAAUUAUGAUAUAAU